AGCGAACGCUGGCGGCAGGCCUAACACAUGCAAGUCGAGCGGCCGUAGCAAUACGGUAGCGGCAGACGGGAGAGUAACACGUGGGAACGCGCCCUUCGGUCCGGGAUAACCCAGGGAAACUUGGGCUAAUACCGGAUACGCCCUUACGGGGAAAGAUUUAUUGCCGAAGGAACGGCCCGCGUCCGAUUAGCUAGUUGGUGAGGUAAUGGCUCACCAAGGCGACGAUCGGUAGCUGGUCUGAGAGGAUGACCAGCCUCACUGGGACUGAGACACGGCCCAGACUCCUACGGGAGGCAG
Molecule: ribosomal RNA, 297 nt
Filed under: uncultured Pseudomonadota bacterium
Lineage: Bacteria; Pseudomonadati; Pseudomonadota
Description: uncultured proteobacterium partial 16S ribosomal RNA
Rfam family: Bacterial small subunit ribosomal RNA
Source: RNAcentral